UCUAGCAUAUGGAGUGUUGGGUCUGCCACGUCAAUUAAUGAGGCGUGAUCCAACGCUCCGUGUUUUUUCUGAUUUUAAUUAUUUCUCUUUUAUUAUUUUAAAUUGGUUUUUUCUUUAAAAAUUCAUAUUAAUUUCAUUUUUUUAUCCAGAAUAAUUUCUGAAAUUCUCUUUUAUUUUUCUUCACCUGAUUUUUAUUUUUCCAUAUUUUAUUUACUGGUUUUCUAUUUUUUUUUUAUGAAUUUUCUCUUUUCUCAUUUGUUUAAAUUAGUUUGAAAAUACUUUUCUGUAUUUUAAAAUUCUAGAAAAAAUAUUAUAUACUUCUUAUUUUAUUUCCAACCUUCCAUAAUUUUC
This 351-nucleotide long non-coding RNA is filed under the name Lathyrus oleraceus (garden pea). RNAcentral describes it as "Pisum sativum (pea) long non-coding RNA (PSAT_LNC010128)". Lineage: Eukaryota; Viridiplantae; Streptophyta; Magnoliopsida; Fabales; Fabaceae. The record is from RNAcentral.